UGGGUAGACUUGUUCAUGGUCUUUGAAAUAAGAUCCUUUGUGGGGCACUCAGUCUGUUAAUUAGAAAAUUAUCUCCAUCUUGGAUGCUGGGUCCUCUGG
This 99-nucleotide long non-coding RNA is filed under the name Chinchilla lanigera (long-tailed chinchilla). Its description in RNAcentral is "MEST intronic transcript 1, antisense RNA conserved region 3 (ENSCLAG00000020700.1)". It matches the Rfam family "MEST intronic transcript 1, antisense RNA conserved region 3". Lineage: Eukaryota; Metazoa; Chordata; Mammalia; Rodentia; Chinchillidae. The record is from RNAcentral.